GACGAACGCUGGCGGCGUGCUUAACACAUGCAAGUCGAACGGAAAGGCCUGCUUUCCCUUGUGGCUUGCGGGUACUCGAGUGGCGAACGGGUGAGUAACACGUGAGUGAUCUGCCCCCAACUUGUGUAUAAGCCUGGGAAACUGGGUCUAAUUCCCGAUAGUCCUUCAGGGUGGUGCCUUUGGUUGAAAACGAUUUUCUAGUGGUUGGGGAUGAGCUCGCGGCCUAUCAGCUUGUUGGUGGGGUAAUGGCCUACCACGGCGGCGACGGGUAGCCGGCCUGAGAGGGGGGACGGCGACAUUGAGACUGAGAAACGGCCCAGAGUCCUACGGGAGGCAGCAGUGGGGAAGAGUGCAAAAUGGGCGGAAGCCUGAUGCAGCGACGCCGCGUGGGGGAUGACGGGCUGCGGGUGGUAAACUCCUUUCGAGCGCGAGGAAGCCACCUGGUUGGAAGGGUGGUGACGGUAGUGGUAGAAGAAGCACCGGCUAACUACGUG
This 494-nucleotide ribosomal RNA is filed under the name uncultured bacterium. Its description in RNAcentral is "partial 16S ribosomal RNA". It matches the Rfam family "Bacterial small subunit ribosomal RNA", at positions 28 to 507 of the family's 1533-position model. The record is from RNAcentral.